CCUACGGGUGGCUGCAGUAGGGAAUAUUGGACAAUGGAGGGAACUCUGAUCCAGCCAUACCGCGUGAAGGAAGAAGGUCCUCUGGAUUGUAAACUUCUUUUGUACGGGAAGAAAUGUUGGUUUGCGAACUAACUUUGACGGUACUGUACGAAUAAGCACCGGCUAACUACGUGCCAGCAGCCGCGGUAAUACGUAGGGUGCAAGCGUUGUCCGGAAUUACUGGGUUUAAAGGGUACGUAGGUGGGCAUCUAAGUCUGGAGUGAAAGUUUGAGGCU
RNAcentral lists this ribosomal RNA (275 nucleotides) under uncultured bacterium. RNAcentral's name for it is "partial 16S ribosomal RNA". It matches the Rfam family "Bacterial small subunit ribosomal RNA", at positions 338 to 609 of the family's 1533-position model. The record is from RNAcentral.